CGUUAGCCACCACACUUGGCCAAGAGAGUUCUUUCAAAUUUACCAAUAUUAUCACUAUUAAAUAGCUUUUAUUUUGAAGUAUAUAUCCUAGUGACUUUUUAACUUCAUAUAUCUUAUUCUGUAUAUAUGUAGUAAAUCACUAUCUGGACUCAUUAGUUAGAUGUUGAACUUAGCCGUAACCUUAUCUACUACAUACAUGGGCAUUUUCUGUUGUUAUUAACCCUGGGACUUAAGUUGCCUUAGAAAUAUUAAUGAUAAUUGCUAUAUGUAUAGAUGUUACCACUAAUAUCUUUAGUAUUCUCUGCUGACUGUCCAUGAACCCUGUGGAGUUCAUUAUGCUGGAAGUCACAGCGUAUUCCUUAAACCCUUCUGAUUCUGCUUUAUGGCCUCCUCCCUUGUUGAGUAUCUUCUUAAAAGGAAUCAGAAACCACUCUUCCCACAUUCUCCAAUAGUCAAGUCACACCAUGAACACGGUUCCAAGAAGCGGAAAGGUCCUCUACCACUUCAAGGAAAUUAGGAAGAAAAAAAAAGAGAGAAAAACAACGUGUUGUUCCAGAAGGUUCAAGAGAUUCUCCUGCCUCAGCCUCCCAAGUAAUUGGAAUUACAGGCCCAUGCCACCCCACCCGGCCAAUUUUUUUGUAUUUUUAGUAGAGAUGGGGUUUUGCCAUGUUGGCCAGGCUGGUCUCAAACUCCUGACCUCAAGUGAUCCGCCGGCCUCGGCCUCCCAAAGUGCUGGGAUUACAGGCAUGAGCCACCAUGCCGGACCUAUUAGUGUAUUUACUGGAUAUCAAGAUGACUAAGAAAUAGCACUUGCCUUGAAGGAGCUUUUCUAUUUGAGGAAAAAGACAUGUAUAUAAAUAACUGCAAACAGAAUAAAACAAGUGUUAUAUAGAUCUACAUACAGUGACAUGCCAUGGGAAUGCUGAACACUGAGCAACAGUUUCAACUAGCGAAUUGGCACAGGAAACAUGAGAAAUAAAUGUAUUUUCAAUAUGACAAGAAUGGUCAUUUCUGGAUAUAAGAACAAGAGAAAAGUCAUGGAUAUAUGGAAAGGCAUGGACUCUUCAAGGAAGAGCAAGUAGUCUAAUGUAGAUGCUGUAUAGGAAUCUGGGGACAAAGGGACAGAUAAGUGGUAUAAACAAAGAGGCUGGAAAUAGGGUUAUGGGCUAGAUCAUGAGUGACCUGUAAGCAUUAGGAGUUUUGAUUUAUUUUGGAAUAAGAAACAUUUAUGGCUUUUGAGAAGGAAAAUUACACAAGGGAAAAGAAAGGAUUUUUAUUUUUUAUUUUUAUUUUUGGAGAGAUGAGAUCUCACUAUGUUGCCCAGGCUGGUCUUGAACUCCUGAACUCAAGCAAUCCUCCCAGCUCGGCCUCUGAAACUUCUAGGAUUAUAGGCGUGAGCCACUACGUCCAGCCAGGAUUAUGUUUUUUAUGGGAGGGAUGAGAAUAUUGGUAGGCGGGUAGAGGAUAAAUGAGAGAGAAUAUGUAUAUGUGAGAUUGAAUAUAUAAUAGAAAAAAUUGAUAGGACAAGUCUUGCGUUAUUACUACAUUUUAUGAGGAAAAUCUAUAUAUUAGAAGCACUUUAAAGGUAUAUUUGCUGUUAUAGCUGUGGAAACCAUCUGAAAACACAUUUGAAAGUGCUUUGAAACAGGGGUCAACAAACUUUUCUGCAAAGGGCCAGAGUAUGUUUAGCUUUGCGGGCCACAGAUGGCCUCUGUUGCAUAUGCUGCUGGGUCUCCACCUUCCUCCUCCUUUUCUUCCCUUCCUCUUCCUUCUUUUUCUUCUUCUCUUUCUUCUUCUUUCUCUUUAAAAGCAUAAAAUCAUUCUCAGCUCAUGGGCCAUACAGAAACAGGCCAUAGGCCAGAUUUGACUUCUAGGCCAUAGUUUGCCGACCCUCCAUUUUAGAACUUAGCUUUCCUGAAAGAGCAUUUGGGUCUCUCUCUCUCUCUCCCUUUCUCUCUCUCUGUCUCUCUCUCUCUCUCUGUCUCUCUCUCUCUCUCUCUCUUUCAGUAAGUGAAGUAAGAAAUAGGUCUUUCUUGAGGAACAAAAAGCUGAAAUAAUUUCAUGCAUUUGAAUAUGACCCUUGACCUGUUUUUGUCCAUCAUCACUCAGAUUUGUGGCUGCAACCACCAACCAAUUUGGUGCCAUAGGAUAUAGCAUAAUUUUUCAGCAACAGUUCAUAAGCUUUUCUUUUUGUUCUUUUUCCUUCUUCCAGUUGUGGUGGUUUAAAAACAUGUCUGCAAAAUCUUUGACACUUCUCAGUAAAAAAUAUAGAGUCUUGUGUUCCCUUUUCUUGAACCUAAGUGGCCUUUGUGCUGCCUCAACAAAUAGAAUAUGACAGAAAAGACACUGUGACUUUUGAGACAGGGUCAUAAGAGGUGAUAGAGCUUCCCCAUGCCCCUGCAUUUUAGAGCUCUGGGUUGCCAUGUAAGAAUAGCUACCCUGAAGCUACCAUGCUGAAGAGACCACAGGGAAAUCACAUAGAGUUAGAAAGAGGUGUCUGAAGAAGCCCAGCUGCUCCCAAUCCCAGCUAUUUAAGUCCUCCCAGACCAGGUGCCAUAUAUAUGAGUGAGCAAGCCUUCAGAUGGUUCCAGCACCAGCCACCAUCUAGCUGUAAGCUCAUGAGACCCCUUCAACGAAAACCAUCUAGAUUAGCUUAGUCAAGCCCCAGAACCGUGAAAGACAAUAGACUUGCUAUGGAGGUCGCCACAUGCCUCUUUUUUCUCCCUUUGUGAAUGGGAUUAUUUAUAAUGGUUACCCAUACCUACUCCACUAUGUAUAUUGGGUAUGAGGGAGAGAUAAUUUGUCUCACUAGCUGACAGAUUUUUCAAACCUCAAGGAAUGCCACUUGAGCUGUACGCACAGGACCACACACAAGUAUCUUUAUCCACACGUGACCUGAUUUCACUGAUAAAGUCCUGGACCUUGAGCCUGAGCCCAGUGUCUUAAUAAAUGAGAAUUUCAGAAGGUCUUGGGAGGGGGUGAGUAUAUUUUGCAUGUGGGAAGGAUGUAAAUAAUAUGUGGCCUGAGAGCAGAUUAUGGUGGUUUGAAAAUGUGUCCACCAAUUCUUUAAUACUACUCUCAACAAGAGGUGGAAUCUGUGUCUCUUCCUUUGCAACAUGAGUGGACCUUUGUGAUUAAAUGCAGCAGAAGGAUGCUGUGUGAACUCUGAGACAGGGUAAUAAGGGGUGAUACAGCUGCCACCUAGUUCUUUCUCAGAACAUGUGCCUUUGGAGCCCUGAGCUGCCAUGGAAGAAAACCACCUACCCUGAAGCCACAACACUGGAAAGACUAUGUGGAAGAACCACAGAGAGAGAGAAGAGGACCAAAUGUGUGAGCCUUCCCAGCCCAGGCUCCAAAUAUGCAGUAGUAAGCCUUCAUUUCUUUUUGGUUUUAAUUUUUUUUUUUUUUAAUAAAUCGAAAUGGGUUCUCACUAUGUUGCCCAGGCUGGUCUUGAACUCCUAAGCUCAAGUAAUCCUCCUACCUCAGUCUCCCAAAGUGCUGGAAUUGUAGGCAUGAGCCACCAUGCCCGGCUGCAAGUAGUAAGUCUUCCGAUGCUUCCAUCACCAGCCACCAUCUGAUGACAACCCCAUGAAUGACCCUCAGCAAGAACUACCUAGCUGAAUCCAGCCAAACUCCAGACCCGUGAGAGAGAAAUAAAAUUGUUGUUUGAGUCACUAAAUACGGAGUAAUUUAUAUUAUCAACAGAUAACUGGAACCACAAGUGUAAUUGUUAAAGGUAAAACUUUGAAUACAUUUAUAUUUGCCUUCUGCCACAUUCCAUAAUUGACUUUUGUUCAUGAACCUAUUGGCAAGUUUGCCUUAUUGCUUUUCCUUCUUCCCUUUUUUUUUUUGUAACUUAAAAAAUCAUAUGAUAAAACAACACAAAAAUGUAUUUGAAUGUAGGUUGAGUGACCAUAAAUAAGCACAAAA
Molecule: long non-coding RNA, 3930 nt
Organism: Pan troglodytes (chimpanzee)
Lineage: Eukaryota; Metazoa; Chordata; Mammalia; Primates; Hominidae
Exons: 2
Source: RefSeq, a predicted model, not a curated record